Molecule: ribosomal RNA, 200 nt
Filed under: uncultured Actinomycetales bacterium
Lineage: Bacteria; Bacillati; Actinomycetota; Actinomycetes; Actinomycetales
Description: partial 16S ribosomal RNA
Rfam family: Bacterial small subunit ribosomal RNA
Source: RNAcentral
CCUGCACUCUGGAUAAGCCUGUGAAACUGGGUCUAAUACCGGAUAGGACCAUGCUUUAGUGUGUGUGGUGGAAAGUUUUUUCGGUGUAGGAUGAGCCCGCGGCCUAUCAGCUUGUUGGUGGGGUAAUGGCCUACCAAGGCGGCGACGGGUAGCCGGACUGAGAGGUUGGUCGGCCACAUUGGGACUGAGAUACGGCCCAG